UUUUCUUUUUUUCUGUUUUUUUUCAUUACUUAUUUUUAUUUCAAUUUCAUCAUUUAGUUAACUUAGGAUUUUUUUUCUUCUUUUUGAUAGUUUUUUUUAUCAUUUAAUACUAAAUUAAAUAAGAAUUGAACUUCAUGAUUUAUUCUAAUUUGUUUUAUUAAAAAUUAUUCCAAUUUCAUAACUCAUGUCAUAGGUUUUAUGGAUUAUGUCUCUUUUUAAUUGAAUUUUUUAUUAAUUUCAUUUUGCAAUAUUAAAUUGAUUGAGAAUUAGACUUUAUAAUUUAUUUUAAUUUAUUUUAUAUGAGAUUAUCACGGUCUCAUAACCGGAAUUAUGGAUUUAACAUGUUAACUGUGGUUGCUCUAGUCAAUCCAAUAAGUUGUCGAAUCAAAACUAUUUUUUAAAAAAAUAUAUAUAUCAUUUUGAAUUUUUUUCAAGUUAAAAUUAGUAUUAAUCGAGCGUCCGAGUUAAUUUUGGACUAUUAAAUUAAUUGAAUUAUAUCAAGUCAACCACUGUAAAGUUUUAAAAAAUUAUGCUAGAAAACAUAUUAGUAAUAUCUGAUUAUUUUUUUAUGUUAAAAAAAAAAUUGAUUUAACCUGUAAUAUAACACGAUUAUUUUUAUGUUUUUUGUUUGUAAUUAAUUUACAUCCUUUGCUCGUUAUCCGUUGUAGAGACAACGGUCAAUAGUCACUUUAGAUAUUACCAGGUAUAUUAGUGAGUGUUUAAUAAUCAAAACUAGUUAAAGAUUGGAAGAACAAGCUAAAACAAAAGUAUUUAAAAAUAAAAAGAACAAUAAUGACAAGCGGAUAAAUUUGUAGAGCAAAAAGGAGAACACCUUGUAAUAUAAUCUUUACUUCCUGCAGUUACAUUCAUGGACGAAGUAACCAGUAGCAUCCAUAAAUUAAUUAACCAUCCAUUCCCUGUGCUUAAUCACCCAUACUCCCAUAGCUUUAUAUACGAAAGGAGUGAUUGGGAUUAUGAUAAUAAUUGGGAUAUAACUUUUGUUUUUUAAAAAUGUAUUAAAAUAAUAUUUUUUAUUUUUAAAUUUGUUUUAUAUUAAAAUAUCAAAACGAUUUAAAAAACAUAAAGAAUUAUUUUUAUAUAAAAAAAUUAAGUUUUUAAUAAACAUAAUUUCAACAAUGUUUUCAAAAUAAUUUAAAAAAUAUAAAAAAUUAAAUUUUUAAUAAGUACAAUUUCAACAACAUUUCCAAAACAAUUUAAAAAAUAUAAAAAAAUUAAUUUUAUAAGAAAAAUUAAAAUUUUUAAUAAACAUAAUUUCAUUUUUUCAAAUACUGCUUUUAGAAUAGCCGCGGUUUUUCAAAUACUGCUUUUAGCAUAGCCGCGGUCUUAUCUUGUGGCAUUUUGAGAAUGACUAUUCCGAGGAAGCUUGUUCGCAUAGUUGUAGUAUUCGUUUCAAGGUCUUAUACAGUUUAAGGCCCACUUCCUUGAGUUGUUGGAUGAACACGUGGAUUAUUGAGUCAAAUUAGACUAGCCAUUCAUUCAAAAUAUUUUCUUUUUAAAAGUCUUCAGAGUUGACCUGGUAGAGUUUCCAAAGUAUAGAAUUGCCUUCGAGUCACUGGAUUAACCAUGAUUAGAACUUGUAGAAUUUUGAUGUCGUGAUUUUAUAUUGGAUUGAUUCUGGGUAAUAUAAUCCAUGAUACCCUUUGCGCAAUCUAUGAAUCCUCCUUCACGCCUCCUCGGAGUUCAACUCUGACACCACCAAAUUAUAACUCCAAUCUAACCAUAGAAGCACCCUCUUGGUGAACUCUAACUGCUUGUUAAAAGCGCACCAUAUCCCGAAGUCUGCAAGCCCUAUGAAGAGUGUGUUUGGCAGUAUGGUUGCGGGUGUUUUUCAAAUAGCUUUUCGUGCCGAAAUACAUGCUAAUAAUGUUUUUUUAUUUUUUUAAAAUCAUUUUUGACAUCAGCACAUCAAAACGAUCCAAAAAAUACAAACCGCACUCAAUUUCAAUAAAAAAAAAUUUCAAAAUUUAACAAAACACAAUUACAAACACAAUACCAAGCAGUCUCGAAAGCUUAAGCUGCAAAUUAUUAUGUUGCUUUUUCAUCCCUUGAAAGCACUGCAUGACAGCUUCCAGUGACAGGGACGCAUUACAGGGAGGAGGAAUUGAGGACAGGUUUUUUAUCUGUUCAAUUUGGUAGCGGUGCAGACUGUGGGGUCCGAGGUUUCUCUUUCCAAAAGUGCCCUACUGCAAAAGUUCACCAAUUAUUGACUCUUUUCUGUGGUUGCGGCUAGGUACCUGAACAACGUCCAUGGACAACAAGAAGGAAAAAAACUACCCUCCCUCCCAUGUUAUACCAAACACUGCUUGAUGCUAAAACAGCGAGAUAACAUCAAGUGCCCUUUUUUUAUAUGACGCCAUUCAUGAUUAUCGAACAGACAUAUAGUAACUUAAUUGUUCAUAAAUCAAAGAGUUCUUUCAACAACAGAAAAAAAAGACCUUCAAAAAUGAAAAUAAGAUGAGGAUUAAAUUCGCAUGGCAGCUGGAAAUUACAUUAAAAGAGGGGUAGCAGAGUAGCGAAAUUGUUCAACUGGAGUUAGCGGGUCAUCUUCAAUAAAACAUGCGACAUUAGAUCAAAUUCAAAUUAUACAGAGAAGAUUAAAACAAGGGAUUUAAGUACUUAACCAGGGGCCAAGAAACCAAAUCGUAAGGCCACUGGCAAUAUAAUACAUAUAUUCAAGUCAUGCUCGGUUAAUAAACAACAUUAUAAAGGAUAUCCCUGCCACAUUAGAAGAAUUCAGCCCAUAUAUAUAGCACACGAUAACUAUGAGCUCGAGCUCCUUUUAUUCCUCGGAUUAAACCAAAAAAAAAAAAAAAAAGCUCCUAUUCUUCAUCCCAGCAACUCUAUUAAGCUAAGCUGGAGAUCACGGCAGUUACUACAAGAAAAGAGAAGCGCACAAACCCCAACUAAUUAAAGGACAAACAUAUGUACACGUACAGCAAUCAAGGCAAAUAUAUAUCAUGCGGAACUCUAAGUAGUACCAGCUGGAGGGUUGGAAGGGGAGGGUUUACCAGUAAAAUCCUCCCACAUCUUCUUCUUUAUACCUCCUCUCUUGGGCGGCGCCAUUGGCCCAGAAGGCCGCCCAAAUCCCCGUUCACGAGGGGCUUCACUGGUGUUAGUUGCGGCAUUAUUGGUGUUCUUUUGGUUGCUGCUGACCUCACUCAUCCGGCUGAUCUCUUGUUAAUCAAUCAGAUCUCGUAUAUGAUGUUACAGAUAAAAAGUUUUGGAAAUGAAGUGAUAAAGCUUCCUGAAAGCAGAGAAAAGAAAUAAAUAUUGGAGGGGAAGGAGGGACAAAUGUAUAUGACAAAAAAUGUUAAGACAAUACCUGCCCUUAUCAGGCGCAGGUUGGUGCCUGCCUGCCCCAGUUUGUAUCUCACAUUAAAACCUUAAUUUGAUGCCGUGCCUGCCCUAGGAAUUUUGGUUUGGAGGGCCAAAUUAGAAAAAUAAUUCUAGAGGAGGUAAAAUUGAUUCUUUUUUAUUUUAUUUUUAAGACUAAAAAUAUAAAUUGUUAAAGGAAGAAAAAUUUUCCUUGCAGGGGGCAGCCCCCAUUGCUCUGCCUCUGUGUAUAGGGUCCCUUAUUUCCUGUCCUUAUCCUAUCAUCAAAGAGGACAAACUUUUUGACUUAUGCAAAGAUUGAAAUGAUGGGUUUUUUUUUAUAUAUUCCUUUAAUUAUAACGUGAAUAAGAAAAUCGAAAAUGUUAGUGUAGUCAAUUUAUUGUAUAAUUCUCACGUGAUGAACGAUGAAAAUGGAUUCCAAGGAAGACUCUUUGUGUGUGUUGGGGGUAUUUUAAAUUGAAAAUAUAUUAAAAUAAUAAUUUUUUAUAUUAAUACAUUAAAAUUAUUCAAAAAAUUAAUAAAAAUUAUAAAAUUUUUAAAUAAAAAAUAUUUUAAAAAACAUAAAUUAUCAUAAUAACAGAGGCAAUUAAUUUAUAUCACCAUCCCCUACUUGGGCUAAACUCCAUCUUACUCGGAGAUGCUGUUGGUAUCGUGUUUCAACUUUCAAGGCCUUACUUUCCAUGUCUUCUUCACUGAAAAAAAAAAGGCAAAAUUAAACUUAUUCUUUCUUUUGUUAUCUGAGUAAUGAAAUAAACUAUCUUUUUUUCACUCUAACUAUUUACUUGUACUAUGUAUAAUGUUUUUUAAAAAAACAUUUAAUUUAAAAUAUAUAAAAUGAUUUUUUAAUAUUUUUUAUUUUUAAUAUCAGCAUAUAAAACUAUAAAAAAUACUAAAAAUAAUCAAUUUAAUAUUUUAUGAAAUAAAAAAUAAUUUUCUUUCUCAACGCGGUGGCCUCCGUCCAAUUCUGUCUCGCUAUCUUCCAAAAGAAGGAACCCCCUCGGCUUGUCCUUUUCCAGUAUUUUUCCUUCUUUUGGAUCCAUGGAGCUGUUUCCUAAUCCACUGGGCAUUAAUAUGGAUGGGCCCAGGAAAGGAUACAAGCCCAAUAAGUUUCACGCACAUUUGGACGGGCAAUGCCAAGAGCGUCGAUAAAAGAAUAGCUUCCAUAUUUUAGCAAAGCUGGAUAUUUAUUCCCGCCCGAUGUUAUGUAUGAAUUCUCAAAGUUAUUUUUUAAAUAAUUUUACCAGUGAUUAAAAUAAGUAUUUGUGAAAACUUAAAGGAUUUAGAUUUUGAAAAAUAAAAAAUUGAUUUCUUAAGUAAGUUCUUGUUUAUUAUUUAUGUUUUUUGUUUUGAUAAAAAAAUAUUUUUUAAUAGCAACAUCGUUUUUUUAAUAAAAACUCUGGAUAAUUAAAUUAAAUAUUUAUUAAAAAAUCAUUAAUUUAAAUUAAAGAUGGAAACAUUAUUUUUUGAGGGAAAUGUCCCAUUUUCUUAUUAAUAUAAUUUUAUUUUAUGAAAAAACAUGUUUUUAUUAUUAGUAACAUAGUUUAUUAAAUUAAAACUUAUCAUAAUAUAAAAAUCAGAUUUCAAAUAAAAAAAUUACAUCUUCAUUGUUUUCAUGUGACUGCAUAAAAAAAUAAAAGAAUAAUUAAUUCAUGAAACCAUAUAAAAAAUUAACAAAGAAAAAACUAUGUUUUUUAUUUUCAUUGAAUAAUCAUGUGCAAUGUUUUUAAAAUUUGUUGCAUGUUAGGCAUAUAUAUAAUUAUUAAAAAAUUUGUUAAAAAAUAUCAUUUUUAGCGACAUUUUUUGUAAUAAAAAUCCAAGUAAUUAAAUUAAUUAUUUAUAAAGAUUCCAAUAACUUAAAUUAAGUAUGGAAGAAAAUUAUAUGGAGGCAACAACCCCGUUUUGUUAUUAAUAUAAUUUUAUUUUAUAUGAAAACAUUUUUUUAUUAGUAACAUUUUUGCUUGAAUAAAAACUUAUCAUAAUCUAAAAUUCAAGUUUCAAACAAGAAUAAGAAAUCAUGUCUUCAUUAUUUUUCUAUUAAAAAAAUAAAAGAAUGAUUAAUUUAUUAAAACCAUUUGAAAAAGUAGCAAUGAAAAAAUAAUACUGCUAAGAUCCUCAAGGCAGCAUGUCUGCCACCUCACGUUGUCCAAUCCUUAGAAAUCCCUCCAUCCAAACACCCAUUAAAAGAAAAGGGAAAUCAAACAGAAUAUUGUCUUAAAGAUGCAGUUGUGGUAUUUAAACCAGAUGUGUUGAAAAUAUUUCGAUUUACAAUGUAGCUGAAUAUUUAAUAACGUAAUAGCUGAAUAUUUUUCUUUUUAUAUUUUUCUCUCUAUAAAAGCACUCGAAUAUUUAACCCUUUGUACCGGGACAAAGGCAUUGAAAGAAUUAAAGCGCCUGAUGAUCAUAAACAAAUGCCUUUCUCUUUUGAACUCCAAGAUCUGUAAAGGGAUCGAGGCACACUACAUAAUUAUUCUUCGCUCUUUUAUUUUUUUUUAGUUUAAUAUAGGUGUUGGAGUUAACUUGCGUGUACCUCGACUAAUCCCAUGGAUCCUGAAGUUAACAACCAUGUAAGCCUCUAGUGGCCAUCAUAUAAGCAACCACAGGGCUUGAACCUGAAACAAAAAAAAAACAAAUCUUUUAAUUCUAAAUUUUUAUCACUAAACUACCAUAUGGUUUAUUCUUAACUCUUUUAUUUGACACAAAACCCUACCAGAGAGACCUUAUUAUAAUUAAAACAGUCGUGUAAUUUAUUUAUUGACUUCUUAUUAAUUAUUCCCCCGACGUAACGUACAAUGGGCUCCCACAAACAUAAUAAGGUAGAGAUCUUCGAGAGAAAUUAAUGUCAAAGAAAGGACAAAUAACUGAAAAAUACUUUAUCCUGUUUUUUAUGGCUGAAAUUUUCCGGCAAAAUAGUCUAUUGUUGGAGAUUUCGACCUCCUUCUUCUUUCCAGACUAUUUUAUCCUGCCACGGAAAAGAUACCCUCUAUGCAAAACCUCUCCGGUGACUGCCAGAAGUAUGUAUGCAUAUAUAAAUGAGCUGCUCCAUGUAACCAAAAAGACUGUUCCGAUCUACUAGCAUCAUUUAUAAGAACUCAUCAAAUACAGUCGAUUAAUGAUUUUUAGUUUAUUUAUUCAUUGUAUUUCGAAGAAGUUAAGUCUAUUCUUACACCAUGUAAACCUUCUCUCUUUUUUUAGAAUUUUGGCCGGGCUCCUGAAGCCAUUUAAAACUGGCGUCCUAAUGCUUAGACCUUUGGUUUCUAAUUAGGGUUUUCAAGAUCUAAAGAGAAUGAAUUAUUAGAAUCUUAAACUCAUGGAAGUAUGAUAAUCACCGUAAAUUAAUCCAUAGAGAAAUAGAAGAGAAGUAUAGCGUGGUAGAAAAUCAAUACCAAAAGUUUUAAAAAUUCUUGAAUCUAGCUUGUCAAAAAAGAGAAGGCAAAAUUGGAAUCUAGCUAGGGAUAAGCGGUUUGCAUAAAGAAAAGAAGAAAUAGCAUUAAAACACAGAAUGAGCGAGCUUAUUACAUUAUAGUAUGUUUUUACAUGGGAAAAACAGAGGGAGUACUAAACAACAAACAAGAAGGUGGAGAACAACUAUGAUUUUUGGUGUUUGAUGAUGGUUUUGGCGUUGUUUCUGCUCCUCUUGGCGAGCUCACUUUUUUGCAGCAGAGAAGCAAGGGAUGAGGCCAAGGACUCGUACAUCAUUUUCUUCACCUUUUUCUUCUUAGGAAAUACACUUCCAUUCUUAUUGUUGAACUGUGGUUCUGCCUUGGAGCUCACCUCUUUCAUUACGGAGCUAAUCUCCUUCACCUUCUUUGCCUCCCUCCUUGCUGUUGCCAUUUCCUCAGCUGGUGGUGCCUUUUCUAUUCCUGCCUCAGCACCUCUAGCUCAAUAUAUGGAGUCUGCAAGCCAGUUGGAAACUUCCUGGGUCUUUCCUAAUCAAAGGCUACAAACUUCAAUUACGUGCCAACUCCACUUGCAUUGACAAAUAGAACCUGGAGUACUCUUUCUUUCUCUCCUCCUUUCUCUUUCUUCAUUUUUCCUUUUCAUGGUUUUUACCAAUUACCGAUUACUGUUGGUGAUUGCCGACUCCAGGAUUCAAUGGUAUUAGCUUAAAUAUUCUCAUUAAAAAAAGGUAUUGGCAUUCUGCUUAUUAUUUAAGCGGUUCCUUAUUACGCUGAAUUCAAUCACAAUAUCAAACAGAGGUGAGAAAAUGCAAUGGGGCUGCUCUACUUACGAGUUUUUUUUUAUUAUUAUUUUUAAAACAUAAGCAUGUACUGAUAGGCACUUAACCUAGUCGUACAUCGUGAAUUAACAAAAGAAUGCGUGUUUUCAAAAAAAGCAAGACUUGCAAUGGCCAAAAGGGAAUCGGUCUUAAUAAUUAAAGCACUAGUAGAUUGUACAUAAUGAUUUGUUUCAGGGAAAUUUCCCUAAAGACCAGCACUUACUGAGCUUGUGCUCAAGGGUCAAAUAACACAGCGUGAUUAAGGAAGAAACAAGCCUCCAUCACAUCUCGAGAUUAACGAAGAGUAUAGUACAGUGCCCAAACCCGACUAAUUAAAAGAGAAGGUACCAGAGAUCUAAGUGGUGGCCCAGUGAUAAGAACUUGGGAUCAAGAAGUUUACUCUUUCUGUGGUUUCAGGUUCGAACCCUGUGGUUGCUUAUAUGAUGGUCACUGGAGGCUUACAUGAUCGUUAACUUCAGGGCCCGUGAGAUUAGUCGAGGUGCGCGCAAGUUGGCCCGGACACCCACGUUAAAAAAAAAAAAAAAAGAGAAGGUCCCAUCUAAAGAAAAAACACAACGUGAAAAGGAAACUGGUGAUAUACACAGCCAUAGAUCCCAAUUUAAAGUCGAUUAUCCUCCUACAGUAUCUUGUUUCGGUGAGUGAUGAGCGGUCAAGGAACCAGGGAAUUACGGAUUAGAAAGAAGAAGUCGAUUCGCAAGCAAUGCUGAGUGCACCACAUCGGCUCCAGCAAGGAAUUGGUGGUGGUUUCCAAUGCGUGAUCAUGUAUAUCGACGUCAUGCAUGAUGCGACGGUGUCAUUGCAUUUCUACUCUUUAUAAUAAUAAUAAAAGUUCUUCCUUAUUUUGGAAUUUGCCACAGCAAAAUGGCAACUUUUAAAGACCCUCGGCCUUAAUCUACGUUACUAAUUGAUAUUUGUUAUUUUGGUAUUAACUAGUAAUGCCGAGUUUGGAUUUGAAAGGAGUAAAAUAUCUCUGUGGUUGACUAUGUUUAGUAAUUAAAUAGAUGUUUGUAUAAAAUAAAUAAAUAUGGACAGAUUUUAUAUAGCUUCCCCGGCCAUAUCCUUUGUUUUCGACUGAAUCUGUUUAGGACUCCAACAAAUGGGAUUGUGGAAAUUGCUUAGAGAUUGAAGCAGCUAAAACCACUAAAUCAUCCUAAUUUAAUAAAUUUUAUUUUAAUAUUCAGGGUAUUUAACCAUAAUAAUUAAACACAUCUUGCUUCAUGACCCAACUCAAAUCUUUAGGUUUGUGGGUCAACACUAAGUCAAUCAAAACAAUAUAAUUAUUUUAAAAAAAAUUAAAAAUAACAUCAUUUUUAAAACAAAAUUAAAAAAGUUAUUUAGAAAACAUGUCGGCUCGAUUCAACAACAUACACGGUAAUUGUCAAAGAAAUCGCCCCGUUAGUAUUUAAUGCUAACGAGGACCUGUAAAACGUGAGAUAUCAAGCUUAGCAUCAAUAAUGUUUAAGGACACGCUUCCUUAUGACCUAUUAUUUAAACUUCAUAUAUAAAUAAAAUCAUCUAUUCGGAUUAAAGUGGACCCUCUAAGUAAAUUUUUCUUUACAUUCCAUUGCCACAUGAUGUACUUAUUUUUUACUGAAAUGCUCGCUGGAGGAAGCUUCUCGGAGAUUUCUGCGUUAGGAGUAGAAGUCAAGAAGGCUAGUGAUCAGCAUACUUUUAACUUCUUGAAUACCGACUCUAGCUAGGAUGGAUCAAUACAUGUUGUGGAUAUAGUUGCGUAACAGACCAACCAAGUUGUACUAGUCUUAAAUAAAUAAAUUUAAUUGGCUCGGUCAAAAACUCAAGUAAUUUAGAUAUAUAUAUCCGAUCAAAACUUAACCUUUAAUUCGAUGAUUAAUUUUAUAAAAAAAAAAAUUAAAACAAUUUUUCAUGAUCCAGUUGAUCCUUCUAACCCUUAACUUGAUUUUUAUCUCAAAUCAACUUUUGAAUUAGAUUUUACAACUAUGAUCUUAUGAUUCUCUUCUCUUUCUUUUUUUUCAUUUUUCUAUCAUGUUGUAAGCUAGUGUAUUCAUAUAUGUACACGAUAUUAUGCUAGAGAGAUGGACGGAUAUAUGCAUCGUUUUUCACUUAUGCAUUGUACAUGCUUUCACGAGCAUUCCUCAAUGGUGAUUCAAAUCACUUUAAAACAAAUUAUUGAAAGUAGGAGAUUUCUUUUCAAAUAAUGACAAAACUAUAAACCUGCAAAUUCAGAAAUUUAAGUCCAUAGCAUGUAUCAUGAGCAGAGGAGGGGGUAUCGUAAGGUAAUGCUCUGUUUUUGGAUAAUUGGAGUACUUCGUGUGUAUAAUAGAAUGACUGCACGUAUCUAUAAGGUUAUAUCCACACUUAUAUGCUAAAUAAAGAAAACCACGGUGAGGAGUUUCUUUAUGUAAACAACUAGAAUUUUGUAUAAUAUCAACAAAUUAUUUUCUUAGUAUUUUGAUAUUGAUUCUGUUGGAAAAUUAUUUCUCGAUUAGUAAUUGUUAGUUAAAAAACUUAUUGUCGAUGAUUUCUAUUAUAUUAGUCAUUUUGUUGAUAAUAUAAUCACCGAUAAAUUUACAAACAAAAAAAAUACGCCAAACAAAACAAAUUUACUAGCAUCAUUUUGUUAGCAAUUCCAUCGGUGAAAUGACAUGUCACUGAUAAAAAAACCGUUUUAAUUUCAUCGGUAAUUUACAUAUUGUUAGUGGCAUUUCUUGUAAUUUUUCUUCGAACUCUUUGGAACUUUCCUUGGGAUUUAUUUCGUCAAUAAUUCUGUUUGUAAUGGCCAAUGGCAAAAUCCUGUGAUUUUUUUCCAACUCUCUAUAAUUUUUCGAUGGGUUUAGUCCAUUUGUAAUUCCGUUAGUAUUUUGUUUAAUAUUUAAAAAAAUGAACAAAAAAACAAAAACAAAAAUAAAAAAAAUAAAACUAAAAUAAAAACCAAAUAUUUAUUAUAAAUUUAAAAAUUAUCACUUUUAAUAUAAUUUAUAUAAAGGACAGAAGCUAGAGAAGGGGAAGGAGGCGGAUUUUUGUUGGCACUGGGAGGCAAGCUACACCACAUCCACAUGUACCACCGAGAUUUCACAACAAUUCCAUGUAUAAUCGCCUGAGUAAUAGCCAAAAACGAAGGACCCAAUUAGCUUGUGCCAAAAAGAGAGAAGUUAAAAAAAAAACUAGCUAACGCUAUUGUUUUUUUUUUGGAAAUUAGUUUUUAUAAAAAAAAAAUUCUUAAAAAGUGAGAUUAUUUAUUUAUAUUUUACAAUAUUAUGAAAAAUAUAUUAGAAAAUAUUUUUUAGUGUUUGGUCAUGUCGUAGAAAAUAAGUUGAAAAAUAACUAAUUAAUAUAUUUUUAAAAAAUUUAUUAAAAGAAUAAGAACCUAAACUGACAUAUUAAAAAGUUAAAGGAAGAUAAAAUUCUAAUUUCAUAGAUUAUUUUAAAUAAAACAAAUAACAAUGAAAAGAAUAAGGGUCAAAGCUGACAGAUGAAAAUGUUAAAGAAUGAUGAAAUUAAAAAAAAAUUCAUAAAUUAUUUCAAAUAAAAAAAUACUUGUCAAAAGAAUAAUAAUCAAAUCUGAUAAGUAGAAAACGUUAAAGAUGAUGAAAUUAAAAAAAAUUAUAAAUAAUUUCAAAUAAAAUAAAUAGUGGUUAAAGAGAUAAGGAUCAAAUUUAAUAAAUAAAAAAAUUAAUUAAGAAAGGAUAAGAAAAAAAUAAAUAACAAUAAAAAAAAUAGGAUCAAAGUUGAUAUAAAAUCAAAUUAUAUCAAAUUUUAAGGAAUAAAAUUAAAAAUAAAAAAUAAAAAUAAAAUAUAUAACAAUCAAAAUAUUAAGGACUAAAUCUUAUAUAAUUAAUAAAUAUCAAGAUUUUUUUUAAUUUUUUAUAAUUUCUAGAAAGGAUAUUAUAAUCAAAAUAAAAUAAAAAUACUUUUAUAAAAUUCAAGCUAAAUAUUUUUUUAAUUAUAAAAAGUUUUCAUUGACCAGCUUGUUUAGUAAUAAACAGACCUGAAAAACUUUAGCGAUUAAUUUUUUAAAAAAAUACGGCCUUAAAUACCUGGCAUGGGACCGUGUAGGAACGCGCUGUUACGAGAUUGGCUGUCUUGCCUAGGAGGUAAGUGAACAUGACAUGAAGACAAACAAGCGCUUUUGGGUGUGAUUGUUCUUCUUAGUCAAAGUGACCCAAAAUGAGAAGUCAUCGGAUGGAUAUCUCAAAGAUUCUAUUCCGUACAACACAAAAAUCGCGGGCUUUUCGGAUCUGAUGUGGACAAGUAGGGUCCUUCAUAGAGGUGUUAAUGACAGUUUUGUUUCUUCGUUUAUGGUAAUUCCAUUAUCAUCAGAAAAACAAUUAUUGAAUUAUAUAUAAAACUUCCUUUCUAAAUUUAUUUCAAGUGAACAUAAAUGAAAUAGCAUGGUUGUAUAAUUUUGAUUUAUGGCUGACAAUAAAAGGUGUUUUUUAGUUAACAAAUAGAUACAUGUAGUGAACAAAAUGUUAAUAAUAUAUGGUUUUAUUUAUUGAUGCAUAUUUGUAGGUACAUGAAUUUUAGACAAUCUGUCUUGUAUGGGAGGUUGCUGAAUUUUUUUAAGAAUUGAAAUGUUAAUACAUUUUUUAAUCCUUUUAUUUUAGUUUUAUUUCUUUUAAUUUUUUUCUAGUUUGUUUGUUUGGAUUAAAAAAAAUUAAACACAUUACUGACGAAAUUACUAAUGAACUACGUCUAUCAAAAAGUUCUAGAGAGUUGGAAUAAAAUUGCUUGAAAUACCAUUGAGCAUAUGUUAAUCACUGACGGAUUAUAUCCGUCAAUAAUAUAAAAUAAAUCACUAAUAAAAUUACAAAUGGUUUUUUUAGUCAAUAAUAUGACAUACUAACUUAUGAAAUUACCGAUGGAAUGAUGUCAGAAAUUUUUUAAUUUAGCAUGUUUUGUCUAUUUAUCAAUAUAUCAAUGUUUAUAUUAUUAAUGGACCGACUAAGUAAAUAAAAAUUAUCAACGACAAGUUUUCUGAUGAGCAGUAAUUAUCCAAGAUGUCAUGUAGUGUUCUAAACAACGACGGAACAAUUAAUCCGUAAUAUGCAAAAUUAUGGCAAUAAAAACAUCUUCUAAAUGUGCAAAGAAAGAGAGGUUAAUUUAUGCUGGUUUUGAUUAGCCACGCGAUUAAAACAUUAUCAGCGGUAAUGUCAUAAUGGUAAAUUUGUCAUAUCUUAUCCCUUGGACUCCAUUAAUAGUUGACCUUCUCUAAUGCCCUUCUCAUUAGCCUACUUUUAUUCAAAUGUUAAUUUCCAUGGCGUGAAUGCAUUAAAAUUUCUAUUAUUUCCAAUAAAACAUUAUUAAUGUUCUCUCCCAGCGACAACAUAUUACGAAUAGUUCUGUUAUAAAAGUCCAAAUGGUGUGGGGGUGGAUAACGUGUACAGUGUCCGAUUAGCUUCGAUCUGGCCCAUUCACUGUACAAAGAAAACCCUUUUAUAGUCGAUGACAAAUGCACCAUUUUCGAAUCAAAUCUCGAAGGAACUUUUCUUAUUAUUUUUAUAAGCUGUUUACAGCUACUUUUUUUUUUCUAGAUUGAAAAUAUAAAAUACUAACUAUUUAACCCGCGAGCUCUAAAUUUUUUUAAAAAACCUUGAGUAUGAAAGCUGUAAUUUAUAAUCAUUUAAGUAAAUAAAAACACUGUUAACAAUAACCAAAAGAAAAAUUAGAAAAAUUAAGAGAUGAAUGUAGGCCGAGAUAUUUGAUCCUGUAAAAUGAGAUAUUUAACCGUUUGUGUCUACUGAAUUUGCUUAUUAAAAUCAAUAAAAGAUAAUAAAAAUAGAAACAAAUGCGGAACUGAAAAUAUUAUGCAAGGCCAAACAUAUAAGAGAUAUUAUUUAAGAAUAAAUAUUUUCUUGUAAAAUAAAGUUCACCCGUAUAAAAUAAAAAGCAUUAUUCAAAAUCUUUUAUUAAAUUUUUUUUUGCAAAACUCAUGGUCUGAUAUACCUAUAAAGAAGAAGUUGAAGAUAACCACAAAAACAUUUUUUUUAAAAAAAAGUCAUGUUAAAUGUUAAAAUCAUAAAAGAAAUUGAGGAAAAGGAUCAUGAACCGCAUGAAUUUGUCAAUAGAUCAGAAGCAUCACAAAUAAAAAAGCUUCAAAGCUCAUUCUCCAUCAAAUCAAAGGUCGUAGGAUGAAACUGGAGAAAAAAACCACACAAAAAUUGUGAUUAAAAGAAUGAGGGAGAAAAUUAAAAUAAAAAAUAAAUUAGAUGUAUCUAAAAAAUUUAAAUUGGAGGGUUAAUUUAUAAACAAUUAAACUUUAACAAAAAAAAAUUCAAAAGAAUGAGAGCUAAAUUGAAAACAAUAAAAAAACAUAAACUUUGAUUAAAAAAUGAAAUUGAAAACCAACAAAACUUUAACAGAAGAGUCAAUAGAAAAAAAUCAGAAAUCAAAAUAAUAAGAACUUAAUUGAAAAACAUAAUAUAUGACAAAUUGUAAUUCAAGGACUAAAUUGAAAAAAAAACUAAAACUUUUAUAAUAGGACCAAGGAUGACAAUAAAAAAUAAAAAACAAAAGGAUUGAAAUUGACAAAUUUAAAGAAAAGAGGACAAAGGUGCACUUCCUCUAGAAAUGAGAGAAAAUAAGGAAGAAAAAAUGUUUGCUGUCUCAUAUAGUAGAGGACACAACGGUGCAUUCAAUGACACGGAAGAAAGGUAUGUUUGGCCACCGUAUGGGUCUGCACGCGCCACCCAAAUAUCGUAGACAACACCUACCUGUGAGCGCGUGCACGUGAGGCGCUAGCACUUUUUUGAAAAAAAAUAAUUGUUUUCUAACAUAGAAAUACCAUAAUACCCUUCAUGAAUAUGAGAAUCACAAAAAAAAAAAAAAAACUUAGUGAAAGUACACAUAUGUCCUUAGAUGCAUGCCUUUAGUUUUAUCUUUUCUCAGGGUAUAAUUGUAUUUCUACUGUAUUUCAAAGUAAAAUCCUCGGUCAACAACUCAUUUUUUUUACUUCGGGAGUAAACAUGUAUUUUGACUAUUUCAAUAUUUUUUAAAAUACUAAAAAACCCCUUGGCAAUAACUUAAGAAAUUGUUAAAUUCAAGGACAAAAAUGUAUUUAUACAAAAAAAAUGAAAAAUACCAACGUACCCCUACAACCUUUUAAUGACUAAUGGAACAAUUAUAAAGAUUAAAACAUCCUUAAUGCCAUUACAUUUUUUUUUUCAAUUCAGGUAUAAAAUGAUAAUUUUAUUAUAGCAAUUCACCAUAAACUAUAUUUAUUAUUACAAUAAUUUUACUAUAACAAUUCACAAUUAUAUAGUAGUUCUAAAGUUUUUGUUAAUAAUAAAAUAAUAUCCUAUCCUAUUCCUAUGGUUUUCCAAUUCGUUUUGGGCCUUUUGCUUUCAAGCUCUUAAAAAACAACUAUUUAGUAUAUUGUUAAACCUCUAGUCAAUAGAGUAGAUAUUUUCACACUUGAGGGUUUGUUUGUUUUUAUAAUUGAGGUUGAGGUUUGUAUUUAGGAUCCACCAAAAAAACAAGAAAAAUAAGCUUUUAUAGUUGAAUUUUAUUCAUUAUUGAAUUGUACUCAACCUCAACUUUAAUCAUAAAAACAAACACAUUCAAACGUGUGAAUAACAUUGGGUUUUAGUUUAAUUCUAAAUUAGUUUCAUGCUAUUGGCUAAUUAAUCAAUUAUAUUAACCAUCCUUGCAAGUUUAAUCCGAAAAAGGGGUUCUUAAAGAUUCUUGGAAAUGGGAAAAUUAUAAUUCCAUUUUUUAGAUUUUGAAUUUCACGGGAAGUUCCUUUCAUUACUCUUAAAUUUAUCCUCCACAUCUAUAGUUACGAGAAGUGGUUUCAAUCAAUUAUUACAAGACACAGAGAUAUGAGCCAGCAUCAAACACUCAAGUAAAGAACGAUGACACAAGAAGUGAAAACCAGACACGGUACAGACAGCCUUUGACGAUAUAAAUAAAUUACGUGCAAGUAGAGUAGUGAAGAGGCAAAACUCUGGGUACUAUAAAACAUAACCCAAGACUGGUAAACGAUGACACAAACAUUUGAUGAAGGUACGUAGCCAAAUUAGUUUGUGCAGCAACCAUCCUUUUUGGAUGGAUCAUAAGAGAGGGUUGAUGAGAAGGCCGGACAAGCAGAGCUAAGAGAAGCAACAGAUCGGCCAAUGUAACCUAGCAUCAUGGACUUGACCAAACUCUUCUUCUUUGGAAACACACUCCCUUUCUUUUGCUUGAACCAUGGCUCUGUCUUGGCUUCGACUGCUUCACUUGGACUCAGCUUCAGUGUCAUGUUCGCUCCUGCCUGCUGUCUCAUCAUGUGUUCCUCUUCACCACUUUAUUUAGGGUUCCAAUUUCAUCCUCUUACUUUAUAAAUGGGUUCUUUGUUGCUGUUUUAUCAUAUGCUCUUUAGACUUUCGCCCUGUGGUAUCAUGCACCACAUGCUGCCGGUAGCAAUAGCGUAGGUUUCACACUUGUACAAAGGAUAGCGUCCGUCUUAUCGUUUUCUUUUCUUUGUUUGAUUUUUAGAAAAAAAUACUAAUACAUUUUGCUUUUUGUUGUUUUUUAGAAAAAUUAAUAAUACAUUUUUAAAAAUUAAAAGACCUAUAAGUUCGGUUGAUUCUUUAGUCGACAAGUGAGUCCUUUUUUGAGUCUUUUUUUUUUUAAAUCAAUUUAUUUUCUACUAUCUAAAAACCUUUUUAAAUAAAAACAAAAUAUGCAUUUAUUGUUAAUUGUCCAGUUUUCAUAAUAUAACUUGCUAGAUUGAGGUUAAUUUCUUUAUUUUUUUAUUCUCUUAUAAAUUUUUCAACUCUUACUGUACACUUUUAAUCAUUGUAAAAACCAUAACAAGAAAAGGAAAGUUAACACAUAAUUCACCAAUAAAAAAAAAAUUAAGGUUAUGUAAGCAAUUUAUUAUUUAAGCAGAUAUUAUAGGAAAUAUAUGAUUAAGAAAUCUAACCCUUUUUGGAAAAUAAAUAAAUAUGAACAUAUUUGUCAAUGAAGAUUUUGAUAAAACUCAUUAAUCCUUUACUUCCCAAAAUUUAACUUAUUGAUAUAUUUUCCUUGUUUUUUCUCCAAAUAGUACAUCAACUGAGUUCAAGAUACUCCUACUGAGUUUGGAUGCUUGGUAGAAAGUGAAAAAAUGCUGAUGGACUAUAUAUGUGGGAUUUUGGUGUCCCCCGAGGAGAUCAAGUGUUUGGGAGUGUGAUUGUAGUUGUGAUUAUUUUUUAAAGUGUUUUUCACUCAAAAAAGUAUGUCAAUAAUAUUUUUUUAUUUUUUAAAAAUUAUUUUUGAGAUCAGCACAUCAAAAAUAUAUAAAUUCAAAACAAAACAAAAUUCAAAUUUUUUCAGAAGCGUUUUUUAAACACCACAUCCUUAAAUCUAAUUAUGCCAACAUAUUUAAACAUGGUGAAGGAACCCGCAAAUUCAUGCAUAUAUAUUGAGACAACGCUCAGAAUAUCCUCUCUAAAUUAUUGAUAACUUUUAACUAAAAUAGUUAAAAAGUUAUUUUAGCCAGUUGGUUAAAUUUUUUUAUUACAUUCAUGCUCUCUAAAAUAAAAAUUCAUGAAUAUUUUAUUAUUAUUUUUUAAUCAAUUAAUAAUAAUAAUUUUUAAAAUCCAAGCACGAUAAUAGUUAUAUUUCAAUUAUCAUAUUCUUAACAUAUAUAUUUUUAUAUAUAUAAAAAUCACUUAAACUUUCAUUUUCAUUCAUCAUUUCCCUCACUUUCUCCAUCGUAGCUACAUUUCUUUAUAUAUUUUUUGUCCAUUCUAUUUUUAUGACUUCUAACAAUUUCUUACUAAAAUGCCUUUUCACGAUGAUGACCCUGAUGAUGAUUUAGAAUUAUUUACAGUAGCAAACAAUUGAAGAAGAGCAACAAGCUAGCUAGCAAGGGACGAUCAUCAUAUCGACAUGGUCCUUCCAUUCCCUGUGAGAUACUUAAAGGUCAUAAAAUGCUUGAACGCCACUAUUUUGAUGAAAUUAACCUUUUUAUAUCCUCCACGUUUAUUUCUAAGAAGAUUUCAGAUGAGUCGUCCAUUUUUUUACAUAUUAAAUAUGCAGUAAAAGCAUAUAAUCAAGACUUUGAAAAUGAUAGACAAAUAAACCAAACAAGAAUAAAUAGUUUAUUUUUACGUAAACUCUACGAUACAAGGAACAAGUGUUGUAUUCUUACACCAACACUACAAGAAAAAGUAGUUUUGAAUUUGAUGUAAAACUAAACGAAACGUUAAAAUUGUUUUGUUUUGACAGGCGUUGGAACACUUUCCCUAAACAUGUGUUGCUCGUGAGUCGUGAAAAUCAUUAGGCAAACUUAAAAAAAGAAAAAAAAGAAGUUGAAGUUGAAGUACUGUGUUUGAAAAGUUGUUUUGUAAACGGCAUCCAUGUUUUUCUUUGCGUGAAUGUUUUGUGUUCAUAUUUGUUUGAAAUUGGGAUUCAAGCUGUUUGUGACCUGCUGUUUAUUACUGUGUUUGAUACGCUGUUUUGCUAUUUUUAAUUUUUGAAUUAUUUUUUUUCUAUCAUAAUGAUAUCAGAGAUAAAUUUUAAAAAAUAAAAAAAAUAUUAUUUUAAUGUAUUUUCAAAUAAAAAAAAUUAAAACAUAAUCUUUUACUUAUACUUUUACUGUAACUCUCAAACAGACACUAAUUGCUUACUUAGAUAUAUAGCCAACCUCGUAAUUGUUUUACUGUAUCAUGAGUUAAAUCAAGUUUUAUAACUUUACAUCGUUGAGUCAAUCUAUCAUGUUUAGCAGUGGUUAGAGUAGUUGUUUGUUAAACCAAGUUCUUCUUUCUUCUCUUUUCCUCUUCUCUCCUUUAAAAAUUAAAACACUAAUUGUUCAUGUAACCCCAUUGUCAACCUCAUAAUCUGUGAUUCUAGAUAAUAACCAUUCCCUUGUAUUCCAAGAUGAAGCACGCGCGGAAAUCCAGCUUCGAGAUCUGCUAACGCCUCGGACUAACAUUUUAGUAACCAUUUUGAUUACAUCUAGUAAAUACAUAACCGGCCCACAUACAAUACGACAAGGUAACCAUUUCGAUACUGUCGUAGCUUCCAUACAAUCCCAUUCGAAUUCAACAGGGUUGCUCUUGAUGAUACUAGAACAGCCAACAGGGCUGCUCCUUGAACAUUUAUAGCAGUGGAGCAAGUGCUGAUUGAGCAUUAAUAUAUUUCCCAGAUGAUUAAACAGCAGUAGCAGUAUCUCAAUAAUUUUUAUUUUAAUUAAUGGCGCCACUCCCUCUGAAGGGGGAAGAAGUCCUGCCAUUUGAGGUUGUCACUGGAUAGUAGAGAGUAGAGACAGAACCUUGCUAUGUUGUGAGACUGGAGAGUAAUGGCCAAAGAAACAAACACUAGCACGCAUACGUUUCUUCCUCAACAUUAAAUUAAAUAAAUGAAGAGGACAAUAUCAAUUUAUUGUGGGAGAUCCAUGACACUGCCGGCAAGAAAUUAUUUUAUGAUUACCAGCGGUGUUGGGACCCUCUAAAAGAAAUUUUUUCCCAUUUAGAAUUGGUUCCCAACCUACUUUGUACAUGUACCAAAACUCAAGAAUUACCUCUUUAUACUUCAAGAAUCUGAGAUUUUCUUAAAUUGGUUAUCGGAAAUCGAGUUACUCAAUUGAAUUAAAGUGGAGAAUUACCAAUCGUGGUUCGUGUUUUUAUUGCUGGAACUUAACUAGAGGCUUUUCAGUUCUAUUCCUCGACAUUUCUUAGAGAUGCUUUCAGGAUUUUUAUGAAGUUUUCGAACUUGGGUUUCUGGUGUUUUAAAAAAUUAUCAACUUCAGCAGAAUUCUCUCUUUUCCCCCCUUUCUGUGACUUGUGAGUUGAGUGGUGAUGGUAAGAUCAGAUACAAGGUUAACAAACAUCAAUACUGAGGCUCGAAAGUUGAAGCUGGGUUUUGUCAGAGAAUUGCAGUGGGUUAAUUUCCCCUGUCGAUGGGUUGGCCACUGAUGGCAACAACCGGCGAUUAAUGCACAUCAUAAGAAUAUAAUAAGCCCGCAAGAAGCUAAGAAACAAGGAAACGUGUUUUUAUGCCAGAGAAAAAGUACAUCACUUAUCACAGAUCAUUAAUUAAGAGCGUAUCCAGAACACAAAUAUCUACUAACACAAUAACAGGUUCUAAAGUAACGAAAACUUCAAAAAAUAUAUAUAUAUCAAACAAGGAACUCAUCAAAUACAGUCCGCAUUUGAUACUUUUGUGGGUGAAAUGAUCUUCCUGCAGCGAGGAUAUUCAUUGUUUGCUUGAGGGGAGGCUCCAAGCCGGGGGAAGAAGAAACAGGAAGAGCAUAGAGAACUAACAGAUUGAACCAAAUAAUCAAACAUCAUUCUCUUUACUAACCUCUUCUUCCUGGGAAAAACACUCCCUUUCUUGGGUUUAAACCAUGAUCCUGCCUUGGUUCCGGCCUCAACUGAAUUCAGCUUCGUCUCCAUCUGUAGAGCCUCCCGGAGUAGAGUCCUUCUCACUUUGCUUUUACCUUGUUUCACUACCCCAGAAAUUGUGGCGUUUGUGAAUUGUUUUACCUAUACCUAUGUGAGCUUUGAUUUGAGUGGAGCAGAGCAGAGCAGACCAGGCUUGCACAAAGGCUGCGUUUAAUAGAGAGGAGCUUGAUUUCCCCCCUUCUAUAUUCUUUUAAACUCUAAAACUCACCAAUCACAAGAUAACUUACUGGAGAAGAUUCUAUUGAAGCGAGAUGGUUUCCUCUUUUGACACGUGGAAAUUGAAGACACGAUCCCUGUGGUCUGUCUGUCCACCAGAUUUCCCGCCAAGGUCCCUAGAGGCGUAGGUUUAGCCCCCUUUGAUACUGUAGAAAGCUUGAGCUCCAAGUCGCUCAGUCUAUUAGCCCAAAGGAACGCUGCCUCGCGGGUAUGACGGCCUUCUUACGUUUAACUGUCGACGGUCAACCCCUUGAUUUCCUUUUCUGGACUCGGUUUUUUUUAAUUAGUAGAGGAAAGGAAAAAU
RNAcentral lists this long non-coding RNA (20461 nucleotides) under Populus trichocarpa (black cottonwood). RNAcentral's name for it is "long non-coding RNA (PTRI_LNC000585)". The record is from RNAcentral. Lineage: Eukaryota; Viridiplantae; Streptophyta; Magnoliopsida; Malpighiales; Salicaceae.